Molecule: small RNA, 892 nt
Filed under: Paraconiothyrium cyclothyrioides
Lineage: Eukaryota; Fungi; Ascomycota; Dothideomycetes; Pleosporales; Didymosphaeriaceae
Description: eukaryotic LSU rRNA
Rfam family: Eukaryotic large subunit ribosomal RNA
Source: RNAcentral
GCGGAGGAAAAGAAACCAACAGGGAUUGCCCUAGUAACGGCGAGUGAAGCGGCAACAGCUCAAAUUUGAAAUCUGGCUCUCUUUGGGGGUCCGAGUUGUAAUUUGCAGAGGAUGCUUUGGCAUUGGCGGCGGUCUAAGUUCCUUGGAACAGGACAUCGCAGAGGGUGAGAAUCCCGUACGUGGGCGCCUGCCUUUGCCGUGUAAAGCUCCUUCGACGAGUCGAGUUGUUUGGGAAUGCAGCUCUAAAUGGGAGGUAAAUUUCUUCUAAAGCUAAAUACCGGCCAGAGACCGAUAGCGCACAAGUAGAGUGAUCGAAAGAUGAAAAGUACUUUGGAAAGAGAGUCAAAAAGCACGUGAAAUUGUUGAAAGGGAAGCGCUUGCAGCCAGACUUGCCCGCAGUUGCUCACCUAGGCUUUGGCCUGGGGCACUCUUCUGCGGGCAGGCCAGCAUCAGUUUGGGCGGUCGGACAAAGGCCUCUGUCAAGUAUCUCCCUUCGGGGUGACCUUAUAGGGGAGGCGUAAUGCGACCAGCCCGGACUGAGGUCCGCGCAUCUGCUAGGAUGCUGGCGUAAUGGCUGUAAGCGGCCCGUCUUGAAACACGGACCAAGGAGUCUAACAUCUAUGCGAGUGUUUGGGUGUCAAGCCCGGGCGCGCAAUGAAAGUGAACGGAGGUGGGAACCCUUUGGGUGCACCAUCGACCGAUCCUGAUGUCUUCGGAUGGAUUUGAGUAAGAGCAUAGCUGUUGGGACCCGAAAGAUGGUGAACUAUGCUUGAAUAGGGUGAAGCCAGAGGAAACUCUGGUGGAGGCUCGCAGCGGUUCUGACGUGCAAAUCGAUCGUCAAAUUUGGGCAUAGGGGCGAAAGACUAAUCGAACCAUCUAGUAGCUGGUCCUG